UCCCACACACUGGCUGUGAACUUGUUCCCAACAAAUGAGUCUGUGGGUUGGGAAUGUCAUCUAUCUGAGCAGAUAUCUGCCCAUAUACUAUCUCAGUACCAGCAAAACUCUGAGCCUAAAGGUGACACAUGGCCAAGGGCUGCUCUGCUGUUAACCAUGCACAAUCGAUGGCAGCAAAGGUUGAAGUGAGCAUAAUCUGCAACCUUUCCAUGGAAGUCUUAAACCUUUCUCACAGUGGUUCUGCCCAUUGUCAGACAAUUAUAUUGGAGAAAGGUUUUCAUUUUCAUAGCAUGUUCAGAUUUUGGAGGGAAAUGCAAAGAGCAGUGAAGGAGGAAAGGCAAACCCUUCCUCCCAGGCUUCAACAGAGUCAACCCGGGAAUCAAUGAGAUGACAGAUGUUGGAGACAGAUGCCUGAAUAUCCACUCAAUAGUCAGGCUUAAUGAACUAACACAGGAAGAGCAAUUAGAGAAUUCAUUAAUUAUACUCUAAGUUCACUUUCAUUGUUAAUUCUAAUCCUUUAUUUGGGCUAAUGACUUCAGCUUUUCUUAUAAUAAUUUGUGCCCGUCAGUGAAUGAUAACAUCUUCAAAUUUCCAUAAUUGUGUAAAAUUCAAACUAUAUGUGUAGCUCUAAAUUGGACCUAAAGUAGCUUCUAAGGGUACAUAAGACACUUCAAGAUAACAUAAAUGAGGAGAAAAACAAAAAGCCAGAAAAUGCAUGACACAGGAGAAGAUGUACCCUCAUCUGUUCAGUGAGAGAUGUGCAAAUCAACAUCAACACAGAACUGCUGAAGAAAAAAAAUAUGUGUGUGGAUUAUAUAUAUACAUAUAAGUGUGUGUAUAUAUAUAUAUAUAUAUAUUUACAUAUAUAGUAUGGGCUAUUUCACCUUUGCAAGCUGGGAGCCAUUAAGUAAUGGCUACCACCACUCCCCCACCCCCUUCAGUAAAACACAUCCUGAACAUUGGGCCCAUGUUUUCAAGAAGAAUGUGCCCCACUGCCCCUUGGAAACUCCAUUUCAUUUACUUGGUUCAGUUAGUUAAUGACGGUCCAUUUUGACUCAAAUAUCCAGUUCCCUUUCAUCAAUCAUGUCUUUCUGGACUGUCAGUUUUAGGGCAAGGAUUACAAAGCCCUUCCAUGCAGAUAUCCACAGAGAAAGACCCAGACCCACAUCCCCAUUUAGGAUUGCUUAGGGACUCAUUUCUUCCGCUUCCUUCCAAAUGAAAAGAAUGAGCUAUGUGAAAGGGGAAAACCCCACUGGAAAAUGAAUGUUGGUGACUCAAGUGUUAAUCUAGAAAGUCUUAUGAUUUGGUGCUGGAAAAGGGCAUUGUAAUAAGAUGGUUCUUUAUACCAUGCAAACCAGGGGAAUACAAAACACUGUCAACCAUGAAAAUAAGAUUUAAUUUGGAAUCACAACACAUAGGGUUUUUUCCACUUUAAAUUCUUUUUAUUCAUUCAUAUUUGUUAUAAAUAUUCAAUAGAAAU
RNAcentral lists this long non-coding RNA (1480 nucleotides) under Homo sapiens (human). RNAcentral's name for it is "PREDICTED lncRNA (TCONS_00029216)". Lineage: Eukaryota; Metazoa; Chordata; Mammalia; Primates; Hominidae. The record is from RNAcentral.